CCUUGGUCUACUGUGUGGGCUAAUGAGCAGCUGUAAAGCAUGAUGUAUGUGUAAUGUGUAGUGUAAAAUAUUUAACACCUCUCUUGAGAAAGAAAAUCCUAACUGUCCACCUGCAACUGUCACCCACACUAAUUAAUUCCAGUUUAGGAUAUAGACACAAAGGGUCCCACCAAAUCAAGCACAUGCCUAUGAAGGGAUUGAACAGGUGAAAGAGCGAGACUACCACCCACCGUCAACAAAAUCACAAUGCCUUUGGAGGAAUUAUGCUUACCACAGACCAGCCAACCUGCCCCUGUGCUUUGCAGAAUUCACACCUUCAGCCAAAAAGACCAAGAGUUCCUGGGAGACAAGAAGCAUCCUUCAUUUGAGGGUGUGGGAAGGAGCACAGACAUAUAUGGUCUAUGACCACAGGUAGGAAAAUAACUUGGAAUUUUCACAGGUGAGCACCUAUCACUGCAGCCAUGUUGCAGGUCGUGUCCUUGGAACAUAAUUGGAUCUGUCAGCCCUGACAAACACAGGAUUUCUGCUCCAAUCCACUGAGAACCCACUGUUCUAACUGCUUGUGGGAUUUGUAUUACUACCUGCCUUGCUUCUCCCACAUGAUUCUUGUUCAUUUGAGUCUUUUCACGUGCUCUUGCUCUAUGAUAUGCUGGCCAGUCUAUACAGCAUUCCACUUGAUCAUCUGCUGGAAAAGGGGCUUUCUGUUGACUUUUAAAACCUGUAUUAGUUGAACAGUCAACUAAUAUAGUAAGUUUCAAGGUAAGGUUCUUUUGAAUAUUUGAAAAGAAAAAUCCCAUGG
RNAcentral lists this long non-coding RNA (799 nucleotides) under Felis catus (domestic cat). RNAcentral describes it as "lncRNA (ENSFCAG00000045610.2)". Lineage: Eukaryota; Metazoa; Chordata; Mammalia; Carnivora; Felidae. The record is from RNAcentral.